RNAcentral lists this small nucleolar RNA (93 nucleotides) under Arabidopsis suecica. Its description in RNAcentral is "snoR128". It matches the Rfam family "small nucleolar RNA snoR128". Lineage: Eukaryota; Viridiplantae; Streptophyta; Magnoliopsida; Brassicales; Brassicaceae. RNAcentral also lists the same sequence under 2 other names. The record is from RNAcentral.
UUGCAAUGAUGAGAUCUUAUAAUGAAAUUGAAAGUGUUUACACUUAAUGAACGGUCGACAAAAAUAGUCGAACCUGAGCGGUUAGCUGAGCAA